GAGUUUGAUCAUGGCUCAGGAUGAACGCUGGCGGCGUGCUUAACACAUGCAAGUCGAACGGACUCAUAUUGAAACCUAGUGAUGUAUGAGUUAGUGGCGGACGGGUGAGUAACGCGUGGAGAACCUGCCGUAUACUGGGGGAUAACACUUAGAAAUAGGUGCUAAUACCGCAUAAGCGCACAGCUUCGCAUGAAGCAGUGUGAAAAAUUCCGGUGGUAUACGAUGGAUCCGCGUCUGAUUAGCUAGUUGGCGGGGUAAAGGCCCACCAAGGCGACGAUCAGUAGCCGGCCUGAGAGGGUGAACGGCCACAUUGGGACUGAGACACGGCCCAAACUCCUACGGGAGGCAGCAGUGGGGAAUAUUGCACAAUGGGGGGAACCCUGAUGCAGCGACGCCGCGUGAGUGAAGAAGUAUUUCGGUAUGUAAAGCUCUAUCAGCAGGGAAGAAAUAAAGUCCUUUGGACUUUGGACGGUACCUGACUAAGAAGCCCCGGCUAACUACGUGCCAGCAGCCGCGGUAAUACGUAGGGGGCAAGCGUUAUCCGGAUUUACUGGGUGUAAAGGGAGCGUAGACGGCAGCGCAAGUCUGGAGUGAAAUCCCAUGGCUUAACCAUGGAACUGCUUUGGAAACUGUGCAGCUAGAGUGCAGGAGAGGUAAGCGGAAUUCCUAGUGUAGCGGUGAAAUGCGUAGAUAUUAGGAGGAACACCAGUGGCGAAGGCGGCUUACUGGACUGUAACUGACGUUGAGGCUCGAAAGCGUGGGGAGCAAACAGGAUUAGAUACCCUGGUAGUCCACGCUGUAAACGAUGAUUACUAGGUGUUGGGGGACCAAGGUCCUUCGGUGCCGGCGCAAACGCAUUAAGUAAUCCACCUGGGGAGUACGUUCGCAAGAAUGAAACUCAAAGGAAUUGACGG
This 914-nucleotide ribosomal RNA is filed under the name uncultured bacterium. RNAcentral describes it as "bacterial SSU rRNA". It matches the Rfam family "Bacterial small subunit ribosomal RNA", at positions 9 to 916 of the family's 1533-position model. The record is from RNAcentral.